UGAAGCUUCAUCCCUCCAGUCUCUGU
This 26-nucleotide non-coding RNA is filed under the name Rattus norvegicus (Norway rat). The record is from RNAcentral. Lineage: Eukaryota; Metazoa; Chordata; Mammalia; Rodentia; Muridae.